Molecule: ribosomal RNA, 1227 nt
Filed under: Triticum aestivum (bread wheat)
Lineage: Eukaryota; Viridiplantae; Streptophyta; Magnoliopsida; Poales; Poaceae
Description: partial small subunit ribosomal RNA
Source: RNAcentral
AUGCCUCCUAGCAGGAAGAAGCGCAAGAGUGCGCCGCCGGUGACCGCCACCGACCACAUCAGCGCCCUCCCCGACCAUAUGCUCCACCAUUUGCUCUCCUUCCUCCCAGUGCAGGCUGCCGUGUGCACGUGCGUGCUCGGCCGGCGCUGGCGCCACCUCUGGAGGUCCACCACAGGCCUGCGCAUCGUCCGCCUUGACGACGAUGAUGUCUUUGAAGUCAAAGACCUCCGGAAGUUCAUGGACCAUCUGAUAGCCCUGCGUGAGCGCACCCAGCUGGACACUGUUGAGAUCAAAUUCGAUCAAUUCGACAGUGAUGAUGUGCCCUAUGUGAACCUAUGGACCCGUUUUGCCGUGAUGUGGAAAGUUCAGGCGCUCACCCUUCAUAUCCUCGAGGAUGGUUACCUCCACCUAGACAACCUGCACCUUGUCUCUCAGCAUCUGGUAACAUUGGACCUUCAUUCUGUAGCCCUACAAAAGGCCUUUCUUGAUUUUGCUAGCUGUCCAGCAUUGAAGGAACUGAAAAUGAAUGAUUGCGAAAUCAAUGCUGAUAGGAUAUCAUCCCGUUCCCUAAAGCAUUUGAGCAUCACUUUUUGCCGCUCUGACUCAGAUUGCCGGGUCCGUAUUUCUGCUCCGGGCCUUGUCUCUCUAAAACUAGAAGGCUUUCAUGGUAUGACUCCUUUGCUUGAAGACAUGGCAUUGCUAGAAGCCGCAUGUGUUAAUCUUGGCAAUAGAUGCAAAGAUGUCUGUUUGAAUUAUGACUCUGGUGUUUUCUGUGGAGCUAAUGAUAAUACAUGUAAGAAUUGUGUUCCUAUUAGUGACGACGGCAGCAGCAAUUGUGUGCUUCUGGGUGGUAUCUCAAGUGCUAAACACCUCAAGUUGAUGUCUGAAAUAGGAAAGUUCAUUUUCGCAAGAGAUCUGAAACACUGCCCUGCAUUUAGUAAGUUAAAGACAUUAGUACUCAGUGAGUAUUGGUGUGAGGCUCCUUACUUGGAUCCACUAGCAUGCAUUCUGAAAAACUCGCCAGUUCUAGAGAAGCUCACUCUUCAACUAUUUUCUGAGGGACCAAAUCAUGAAGUGGAAAUGGAAGGAAGCUACUGUUGCAUGGAGAGACCGUCUGCAAUAUCAGAGCACCUUAACAUAGUUGAAGUCAAAUGUAAUGUGGUGGACAAGAGGAUUCUCAAAAUUUUGAGGUUCCUGUGUGCAUUUAACAUACGAUUCAAUUUCUAG